Non-coding RNA from Pelobates cultripes (western spadefoot toad), 344 nucleotides. The record is from the annotation of a GenBank genome assembly. NCBI's taxonomy places the organism in Eukaryota, Metazoa, Chordata, Amphibia, Anura, Pelobatidae.
AAAUUAUUACACGCCGGGGUCAGUCACCUGACCCGGCGUUAAAGGCACAGUGCCUCAAUCACAGUGGGAGGUUUAGAUAUCUCCCACGUGUGAUUGUUAAUUCUGAUUGGAAAUUAUCCAAUCAGAAUUAAACUUAUGGUUUAAAUACUUACCUUUCCUGUUCCUCCCUGCCCUGUUGUGGUCUUUGCUUUCUAGUAUUGCUACUUAUCUUGUGUUUCUGGUUACGUACUCUCUGGCUUGUUUAUCUGACGCUGUGACUUUCUCCUACCCUUUGACCUCGGCUCGUUUCACGUUAUUCUGUCUUCUGGUUCCCCUUUACUUGGCUUGUCUCCUGACUAUUCUGU